GUGGGGAAUAUUGCACAAUGGGCGCAAGCCUGAUGCAGCCAUGCCGCGUGUAUGAAGAAGGCCUUCGGGUUGUAAAGUACUUUCAGCGAGGAGGAAGGCGUUAAGGUUAAUAACCUUGGCGAUUGACGUUACUCGCAGAAGAAGCACCGGCUAACUCCGUGCCAGCAGCCGCGGUAAUACGGAGGGUGCAAGCGUUAAUCGGAAUUACUGGGCGUAAAGCGCACGCAGGCGGUCUGUUAAGUCAGAUGUGAAAUCCCCGGGCUCAACCUGGGAACUGCAUUUGAAACUGGCAGGCUUGAGUCUUGUAGAGGGGGGUAGAAUUCCAGGUGUAGCGGUGAAAUGCGUAGAGAUCUGGAGGAAUACCGGUGGCGAAGGCGGCCCCCUGGACAAAGACUGACGCUCAGGUGCGAAAGCGUGGGGAGCAAACAGGAUUAGAAACCCUUGUAGUCC
Molecule: ribosomal RNA, 450 nt
Filed under: uncultured bacterium
Lineage: Bacteria
Description: partial 16S ribosomal RNA
Rfam family: Bacterial small subunit ribosomal RNA
Source: RNAcentral